This 520-nucleotide ribosomal RNA is filed under the name uncultured Glomus. RNAcentral's name for it is "SSU rRNA". It matches the Rfam family "Eukaryotic small subunit ribosomal RNA", at positions 569 to 1092 of the family's 1831-position model. Lineage: Eukaryota; Fungi; Glomeromycota; Glomeromycetes; Glomerales; Glomeraceae. The record is from RNAcentral.
AGCAGCCGCGGUAAUUCCAGCUCCAAUGGCGUAUAUUAAAGUUGCUGCAGUUAAAAAGCUCGUAGCUGAAUUUCGGGGUCAAUAUGUUGGUCGUGCCUUGGUACGUACUAGCUUAUUGAUUUCUCCUUUCUGACGAACCAUGAUGUCAUUAAUUUGGUGUCAUGGGGAAUCAGGACUGUUACUUUGAAAAAAUUAGAGUGUUUAAAGCAGGCUCGCGCUUGAAUACAUUAGCAUGGAAUAAUGAAAUAGGACAUUUGAUUCUAUUUUGUUGGUUUCUAGGAUCGAUGUAAUGAUUAAUAGGGAUAGUUGGGGGCACUAGUAUUCAAUUGUCAGAGGUGAAAUUCUUGGAUUUAUUGAAGACUAACUACUGCGAAAGCAUUUGCCAAGGAUGUUUUCAUUAAUCAAAACGAAAGUUAGGGGAUCGAAGACGAUCAGAUACCGUCGUAGUCUUAACCAUAAACUAUGCCGACUAGGGAUCGGAUGAUGUUAAUUUUUUCAAUGACUCAUUCGGCGCCUUACG